This 856-nucleotide ribosomal RNA is filed under the name uncultured bacterium. Its description in RNAcentral is "bacterial SSU rRNA". It matches the Rfam family "Bacterial small subunit ribosomal RNA", at positions 50 to 916 of the family's 1533-position model. The record is from RNAcentral.
AAUACAUGCAAGUCGAACGAUAUUUCCAGCUGCUGGAAGAAAAAGUGGCGCACGGGUGCGUAACGCGUAUGUAAUCUGGGGGAUAGCCCGAAGAAAUUCGGAUUAACACCGCAUAACAUCAGGGGAUAGCAUUAUCUUCUGAUCAAAUAUUUAUAGGAUUAAGAUGGGCAUGCGUGUCAUUAGCUAGUUGGCGGGGUAACGGCCCACCAAGGCGACGAUGACUAGGGGAUCUGAGAGGAUGACCCCCCACACUGGUACUGAGACACGGACCAGACUCCUACGGGAGGCAGCAGUAAGGAAUAUUGGUCAAUGGAGGCAACUCUGAACCAGCCAUGCCGCGUGCAGGAAGACAGCCCUCUGGGUCGUAAACUGCUUUUAUUCGGGAAUAAACCUAUCUACGAGUAGAUAGCUGAAUGUACCGAAGGAAUAAGGAUCGGCUAACUCCGUGCCAGCAGCCGCGGUAAUACGGAGGAUCCAAGCGUUAUCCGGAUUUAUUGGGUUUAAAGGGUGCGUAGGCGGCUUAUUAAGUCAGGGGUGAAAGACGGUGGCUCAACCAUCGCAGUGUCCUUGAUACUGAUGAGCUUGAAUACACUAGAGGUAGGCGGAAUGUGACAAGUAGCGGUGAAAUGCAUAGAUAUGUCACAGAACACCGAUUGCGAAGGCAGCUUACUAUGGUGUCAUUGACGCUGAGGCACGAAAGCUAGGGGAGUGAACGGGAUUAGAUACCCCGGUAAUCCUAGCCGUAAACACUGAACACUGGAGGAAGGGGGUUUCGGCCUUCUUUCUCGUAGCGAAAGCGUUAAGUGUUCCGCCUGGGGAGUAUGGUCGCAAGGCUGAAACUCAAAGGAAUUGACGG